Molecule: ribosomal RNA, 393 nt
Filed under: uncultured Rikenellaceae bacterium
Lineage: Bacteria; Pseudomonadati; Bacteroidota; Bacteroidia; Bacteroidales; Rikenellaceae
Description: bacterial SSU rRNA
Rfam family: Bacterial small subunit ribosomal RNA
Source: RNAcentral
CAAUCGGAAUCAGGCCGAAAGGCCUGCGCCAGCGAUGGCCGGUUGCGAGGUGCUGCAUGGUUGUCGUCAGCUCGUGCCGUGAGGUGUCGGGUUAAGUCCCAUAACGAGCGCAACCCCUACUGCUAGUUGCCAGCGGGUUAUGCCGGGGACUCUAGCGGAACUGCCAGCGUAAGCUGCGAGGAAGGUGGGGAUGACGUCAAAUCAGCACGGCCCUUACGUCCAGGGCUACACACGUGUUACAAUGGCCAGUACAGAGGCAGCCACCCCGCGAGGGGGCGCUAAUCCUAAAAGCUGGUCCCAGUUCGGAUCGGAGUCUGCAACCCGACUCCGUGAAGCUGGAUUCGCUAGUAAUCGCGCAUCAGCCACGGCGCGGUGAAUACGUUCCCGGGCCUU